GGUUUUUUUUAAUUUUUAUUUCUUACACUUUUACUUUUUAUAUUCUAAUUUCAUUGUACAUUUACUAUUAUAACAGAACAAACAUGGUUUGAAGGAAAAACAGGGAAGUUUAGAUGAUUGGGCUCGUGUCACUGCUGCUGAAUUUGAUCACAUUAUACCAACGGACAAAUUUCUUGAUGCUUUUGUGGAGGAUGUUGUGACUGAACUUAAACUGAAUGUUGAUAUUGCUAAGAUUCUGAAAGCAUUAGCUUAUCGCUAUGCUAUAAUUUCUUCUAAGAAUGGUAUGAUUGGUUAAUAUUUCUCGGAUAAUUAUCUGCCAUUUAAUCAUUAUUUUAUUAAUUCGGUUAUUAAUUCGUUUUCCUACCAGUGAUUGCACUGGUUGGUUUUAGGCCAAGUAUGUUGGCAGCUUCUGCUAUUCUGGUAGCUGUCAAAAUACUGGUAGAGGAGCACUAUUUUUUUGCAAGAGCAAGGAUUUUUAAAAUAUGUGUCAUCCUAGGAUUGAAUGAGGUGAGUUGAUGACCUUGAAAAUAGAUGAAACAUACUUGUUGUCUCCAUAUUCUGAACUUAUUUUAUGAAUUGCAAAUUGAACUAAAGAACUGUGUGCUCCAGAUGUCUCAAUAUUGUUCAUCGGCAAUUAUAUCAUCUCUCUGACAGCGCUUAUGAGAUAUAAAAGCUUUUUAACUACUUCAUAUGCUAUUGAUUGAUAUUAAACUUGUAUCUACAUAGUUUAAAACUUUGUAUAUUGAUUCUUCAACUACUUCAUAUGCUAUUAAUUGAUAUUAAAACUUGUAUCUGCAUAGUUUUCAACUUUGUACAUUAACUAGCUCGGCGCUUGUUGUGAAUGUGCUACAUAUCUUUUCUAUGGGAUGCAUAUUGUUGAUACUAAUAACUUUAUUGUUUAGUUAACACGAUAUUAUGUAAUUUUUUUAUCUUUGGCUGAGAGAACAGGGCAGCAGGAUAGUCAGUUCCCAGUAGUUUACUACUUGUUCUCUCAAAUUUGAGAACAUAUUGGAGAAGUUAUACACUAUUCGUACUUUAGUUAGACUGUUAGAGUGUGCUUUCUUGCUGCAAAGUUAGUACAUAUGAAGUUAUGACCUGUAGGCAUCUUUGUUUUAGCACUCAGUGGCAGUCAUAUUAGGACCAAUAUUGUGGUUUCGACCAGUAUCACUGUCAACCCCUAGCUAUUUAUCUAGACCUUUUAUGCUAGUUCUCGGCUGUAAUGUUUGUGGCCGGUAAAAGUUGUAAAUGUCUUAUUUAAGCUGUAUUGACAUCUUUGGCUCUGCAGUUAAGCUCAAUACUGGGUUUCUAAAUCAUUAACCACUAGAGUGCCAGGGGGGUUUGAAUGUUGUAUAUAUAGCAUUUGGUAGAUGCUAUUAGCCUAAUAUGAUACUUGCCGGUUAGACUUAUUUGCAUGCUCUAGUGAGUUGUGUUUAUGUGAAAAAUAUCUGGAGCAUACCUGUUUUUGAAAUUUCAAGGGAGAAACAGGGACUAAUCAGGAUUUAAUUUUUUCUUUUUUAUUAGCUUUUUACAUGUUGGCUUAGGGUUCACAACGUCUUCACGAAUACCCUUUGGUGAAGAUGAUGUAGAUUGAAUACCCUUUGGUGAAGAUGAUAUAGAUUGAAUCUUUGAAUCUUUUUAAGAUUAUAUUGAUUUCAUUUGAAGUUUAUUAAAGUUACAUAUGU
Molecule: long non-coding RNA, 1682 nt
Filed under: Citrus maxima (pomelo)
Lineage: Eukaryota; Viridiplantae; Streptophyta; Magnoliopsida; Sapindales; Rutaceae
Description: long non-coding RNA (CMAX_LNC000802)
Source: RNAcentral